RNAcentral lists this ribosomal RNA (273 nucleotides) under uncultured bacterium. RNAcentral's name for it is "partial 16S ribosomal RNA". It matches the Rfam family "Bacterial small subunit ribosomal RNA", at positions 524 to 796 of the family's 1533-position model. The record is from RNAcentral.
GACGUAGGGUCCGAGCGUUGUCCGGAGUUACUGGGCGUAAAGCGCGCGCAGGCGGUUUCAUACGUCGGGUGUGAAAGCCCCCCGCUCAACGGGGGAGGGUCAUUCGAAACGGUGGAACUGGAGGCAGGGAGAGGUCGGUGGAAUUCCCGGUGUAGUGGUGAAAUGCGUAGAGAUCGGGAGGAACACCAGUGGCGAAGGCGGCCGACUGGACCUGACCUGACGCUGAGGCGCGAAGGCGUGGGGAGCGAACGGGAUUAGAAACCCCCGUAGUCC